Molecule: ribosomal RNA, 253 nt
Filed under: uncultured bacterium
Lineage: Bacteria
Description: partial 16S ribosomal RNA
Rfam family: Bacterial small subunit ribosomal RNA
Source: RNAcentral
UACGUAGGUGGCAAGCGUUGUUCGGAAUUAUUGGGCGUAAAGGGCGCGUAGGCGGUUGGUUAAGUCAGCUGUGAAAGCCCGGGGCUCAACUCCGGAUCUGCGGUGGGUACGGGCAGACUAGAGUGAUGUAGGGGAGACUGGAAUUCCUGGUGUAGCGGUGAAAUGCGCAGAUAUCAGGAGGAACACCGAUGGCGAAGGCAGGUCUCUGGGCAUUAACUGACGCUGAGGAGCGAAAGCAUGGGGAGCGAACAGG